This is a long non-coding RNA of Ochotona princeps (American pika), 511 nucleotides long. RefSeq lists it as uncharacterized. NCBI's taxonomy places the organism in Eukaryota, Metazoa, Chordata, Mammalia, Lagomorpha, Ochotonidae. The record is from RefSeq and is a predicted model, not a curated record. The transcript has 3 exons.
UCUUUAAAUUUUGCAAAAUCAAGAAUACACCCGUUCUCUGGGUUUGAACAUACUCUGAUGUUUUAUUCUGAAAUGAGAAUUUCAGAUCACAAAGGGACAGAGACCAGCCAAGUGCUUUCCCUGGAGACUACUGAAGCGGUCUCCAGUUGUCCUAUUUGCACUGCAGCGAGCUAGCUCAAGACAGGCCUGAAAAGCCAGAGUGGUGCUGGCCCCUGCCUUGCCAUGGAAAUGAUGAGACACGGGAAGAUCUUUUCUAGGUCACCUGCUGCUUUUCCAAGGCUGGAAAGAAUCCAGCAUGCCAACGCUUUGUCUCCAUACUCCUAAAUCCUGAGAGAGAAAAUGCUGAGCAGCAUAUCAUGUCUGGCAUCGGCAUCGCAAUGAUCAGAGAAGAAACAGCAUGCCUUCCAUCUGCCCUCCUGAGAUGAGCAGACACAAGGCAUGUGCAGACCUUGGUGACCCAGAAGAACAUUAGAUGAUUUGAAAGCCGUAUGAAUAACUUUCUUGAGUACUG